GGUCAAGCGAAUAAGCGCAUACGGUGGAUGCCUUGGCGGUCAGAGGCGAUGAAGGACGUGGCAGCCUGCGAAAAGUAUCGGGGAGCUGGCAACAAGCUUUGAUCCGGUAAUGUCCGAAUGGGGAAACCCACCCGCUUGCGGGUAUCCUGCAGUGAAUACAUAGCUGCUGGAAGCGAACCUGGUGAACUGAAAUAUCUAAGUAACCAGAGGAAAAGAAAUCAACCGAGAUUCCGUAAGUAGCGACGAGCGAACGCGGACUAGCCCUUAAGCUGGAUUGGUUCUAGGAAAACGCUCUGGAAAGAGCGGCCAUAGAAGGUGAUAGCCCUGUAUCUGAAAGGGCCAUUCCAGUGAAGACGAGUAGGGCGGGGCACGUGAAACCCUGUCUGAACAUGGGGGGACCAUCCUCCAAGGCUAAAUACUACUGACCGACCGAUAGUGAACCAGUACCGUGAGGGAAAGGCGAAAAGAACCCCGGAGAGGGGAGUGAAAUAGAACCUGAAACCGUGUGCGUACAAGCAGUAGGAGCUCCGCAAGGAGUGACUGCGUACCUUUUGUAUAAUGGGUCAGCGACUUACUGUUCGUGGCAAGCUUAACCGUAUAGGGGAGGCGAAGGGAAACCGAGUCUGAUAAGGGCGCAUAGUCGCGGGCAGUAGACCCGAAACCGGGUGAUCUAGUCAUGCCCAGGGUGAAGGUGCGGUAACACGCACUGGAGGCCCGAACCCACUCCCGUUGCAAAGGUAGGGGAUGAGGUGUGAUUAGGAGUGAAAAGCUAAUCGAACCCGGAGAUAGCUGGUUCUCCUCGAAAGCUAUUUAGGUAGCGCCUCAUAUGUAUCCUCUCGGGGGUAGAGCACUGUUAUGGCUAGGGGGUCAUCGCGACUUACCAAACCAUUGCAAACUCCGAAUACCGAGACGGACUGUAUGGGAGACACACGGCGGGUGCUAACGUCCGUCGUGAAAAGGGAAACAACCCAGACCCACAGCUAAGGUCCCAAAUUCACUGCUAAGUGGAAAACCAUGUGGAAAGGCACAGACAGCCAGGAGGUUGGCUUAGAAGCAGCCACCCUUUAAAGAAAGCGUAAUAGCUCACUGGUCGAGUCGGUCUGCGGGGAAGAUUUAACGGGGCUAAGCAGUGAACCGAAGCUUGGGGUGCAUAACUUUGUUAUGCGCGGUAGAGGAGCGUUCCGUAAGCCGUUGAAGGUGGAUUGAGAAGUCUGCUGGAGGUAUCGGAAGUGCGAAUGCUGACAUGAGUAACGAUAAUGCGGGUGAAAAACCCGCACGCCGAAAGCCCAAGGUUUCCUUGCGCAACGUUAAUCGGCGCAGGGUGAGUCGGCCCCUAAGGCGAGGACGAAAGUCGUAGUCGAUGGGAAGCAGGUUAAUAUUCCUGCACCUCGCGUAAGUGCGAUGGAGGGACGGAGAAGGUUAGGUGUACCAGGCGUUGGUUGUCCUGGGGAAAGGCGGUAGGUUUGGAUCUUUGGCAAAUCCGGGAUCCUUUAAGACCGAGCACCGAGACGAGCCUUUAUGGCGAAGUCACUGAUACCACGCUUCCAGGAAAAGCUCCUAAGCUUCAGCUUACGCAGACCGUACCGUAAACCGACACAGGUGGGUAGGAUGAGAAUUCUCAGGCGCUUGAGAGAACUCGGGUGAAGGAACUAGGCAACAUGGCACCGUAACUUCGGGAGAAGGUGCACCCUUUUUGGUGGCUCGUGCGAGCUAUAGCUGAAGAGGGUCGCAGUAACCAGGCCGCUGCGACUGUUUAUCAAAAACACAGCACUCUGCAAACACGAAAGUGGACGUAUAGGGUGUGACGCCUGCCCGGUGCUGGAAGGUUAAUUGAUGGGGUCAGCCGCAAGGCGAAGCUCUUGAUCGAAGCCCCAGUAAACGGCGGCCGUAACUAUAACGGUCCUAAGGUAGCGAAAUUCCUUGUCGGGUAAGUUCCGACCUGCACGAAUGGCGUAACGACAGCGGCGCUGUCUCCACCCGAGACUCAGUGAAAUUGAAAUCGCUGUGAAGAUGCAGCGUUCCCGUGGCAAGACGGAAAGACCCCGUGAACCUUUACUAUAGCUUUACACUGAACGUUGAGUUCGUCUGUGUAGGAUAGGUGGGAGGCUAUGAAACCAUGGCGCUAGCUGUGGCGGAGCCAUCCUUGAAAUACCACCCUGUCGUGCUUGACGUUCUAACCUGGGCCCAUUAUCUGGGUCGGGGACCGUGUAUGGUGGGUAGUUUGACUGGGGCGGUCUCCUCCUAAAGAGUAACGGAGGAGCUCGAAGGUACGCUCAGCGCGGUCGGACAUCGCGCACUGUGUGCAAAGGCAUAAGCGUGCUUGACUGCAAGAUCGACGGAUCAAGCAGGUAGGAAACUAGGACUUAGUGAUCCGGUGGUUCUGUAUGGAAGGGCCAUCGCUCAACGGAUAAAAGGUACUCCGGGGAUAACAGGCUGAUACCGCCCAAGAGUUCAUAUCGACGGCGGUGUUUGGCACCUCGAUGUCGGCUCAUCACAUCCUGGGGCUGUAGUCGGUCCCAAGGGUAUGGCUGUUCGCCAUUUAAAGUGGUACGCGAGCUGGGUUCAGAACGUCGUGAGACAGUUCGGUCCCUAUCUGCCAUGGGCGUUGGAGAUUUGAGAGGGGCUGCUCCUAGUACGAGAGGACCGGAGUGGACGAACCUCUGGUGUUCCGGUUGUCACGCCAGUGGCAUUGCCGGGUAGCUAUGUUCGGAAGCGAUAACCGCUGAAAGCAUCUAAGCGGGAAGCGCGCCUCAAGAUGAGAUCUCCCGGGGCACAAGCCCCCUGAAGGAACCAUGUAGACUACGUGGUUGAUAGGUCAGGUGUGUAAGUACAGCAAUGUAUUGAGCUAACUGAUACUAAUGAUCCGUGCGGCUUGACCAU
This 2880-nucleotide ribosomal RNA is filed under the name Stenotrophomonas maltophilia. RNAcentral describes it as "23S ribosomal RNA". It matches the Rfam family "Bacterial large subunit ribosomal RNA". The record is from RNAcentral. Lineage: Bacteria; Pseudomonadati; Pseudomonadota; Gammaproteobacteria; Lysobacterales; Lysobacteraceae.